Molecule: ribosomal RNA, 447 nt
Filed under: Triticum aestivum (bread wheat)
Lineage: Eukaryota; Viridiplantae; Streptophyta; Magnoliopsida; Poales; Poaceae
Description: partial small subunit ribosomal RNA
Source: RNAcentral
AUGAAUCUUUUGGCCUGGAACUGUCAAGGACUGGGGUUGGACUCGACAGUAGGCGAACUCCGCGACCUGAUUAGGUCCCACAACCCAGUGGUGGUUUUUCUGAGUGAAAUUAAAAAGAAGGCGAGAGAAAUGGAAAAGCUUAAGUGGAGUUUGGAGUUUAGAUGUGGGGUGGCGGUGGACCGUCAAGGGAAAAGUGGUGGAUUAGCAUUGUGGUCGAGAGAUCAUUUGCAAGUAAAUGUGAGACCAUGGUGUCAAUAUUUUUUGGAUGCAGAUAUUGUGUGGAAGGGCAAGACCUAUAGCAUCACUGGAUUCUAUGGUGAGCCUGAUACUGACCAAAGGAAAAAGUCUUGGGACGCAAUCAGGUAUCUAAAACGACAGAGUGAGUUACCAUGGCUAUGUGUUGGAGACUUCAACGAAGCUUUGUUUCAGUCUGAACAAGUGGAGUAA